GAUGAAGAACGCAGCGAACUGCGAUAAGUAAUGUGAAUUGCAGAAUUCAGUGAAUCAUCGAGUCUUUGAACGCACAUUGCGCCCCCUGGCAUUCCGGGGGGCAUGCCUGUCCGAGCGUCAUUGCUGCCCUUCAAGCCCGGCUUGUGUGUUGGGUCGUCGUCCCCCCCGGGGGACGGGCCCGAAAGGCAGCGGCGGCAUCGCGUCCGGUCCUCGAGCGUAUGGGGCUUUGUCACCCGCUCGAUUAGGGCCGGCCGGGCGCCAGCCGGCGUCUCCAACCUUCUAUUUUACCAGGUUGACCUCGGAUCAGGUAGGGAUACCCGCUGAACUUAAGCAUAUCAAUAAGCGGAGGA
Molecule: unclassified non-coding RNA, 350 nt
Filed under: soil metagenome
Description: partial contains 5.8S ribosomal RNA, internal transcribed spacer 2, and large subunit ribosomal RNA
Rfam family: 5.8S ribosomal RNA (bases 1-120)
Source: RNAcentral